Molecule: long non-coding RNA, 823 nt
Filed under: Musa acuminata (dwarf banana)
Lineage: Eukaryota; Viridiplantae; Streptophyta; Magnoliopsida; Zingiberales; Musaceae
Description: long non-coding RNA (MACU_LNC010802)
Source: RNAcentral
GAAGAAGAGAGGAAGAGGAGAAGGGGAGGCAGUUGUGGCAGUGGCAGUGGCAGGUGCAGCUGGAAGAGAAGUAGAGGAAAUAGAGCAGGGGAGGAAGAAGAGGCUGCGGCUGUGGUGGCUGUGGCCAUGGCUGCGACUACGACUGCGGCAGUUGCAGCUGGGAAAGAAAAGAAAGGAAAGGGGAAAAAGGGGCUGCGGACGGGAUUGCGGCCACAGUGGCAGCGACUGCGUAUGCAGUAGUUAUGUCUGUGAGAGAAGGGAGCAAGGAAGUAGUACAGUGGAAGGGGCUGCGGUUGUGACAGCAGCUGCGGUUGUGACAGCAGCUGCGGUCGUGACUACGACUGUGGUAAUGGCAACGGCGAUGGCUGCGACAACUAUGUUUGAAAAAAAAAAUGAAGGAAUGAGAGUAAGAGAGAGCAGGUGGCUAUGCCUCUAUGUUCUGCAUGAGCUGCAAUUGUGGAGGAAAAAGAAAAGACAUGUAGAAAACGAAACAGAGAGAGAGGACACGGAGGAAAAGUAGAAGGAUUUGGGCUGGCACACUCUUUGGAUCUUUGUAUCGAAAUCUUUGAAAGGCAAGUUUCCUGAUCGUUUCUCCUGUAAUUGUUCUAAUCUUUUCUAUUGCAAGUUUCCCAAUCAUUUCUCCUGUUAUUAUUCUAAUCUUUCAUAUUGCAAGUUUCCUGAUCGUUUCUCUUGUAAUUGUUCUAAUCUUUCCUAUUACAAGUUUCCUAAUCGUUUCUCCUGUAAUUGUUCUAAUCUUUCCUAUUGCAAGUAUCCUGAUCUUUCCUCACUGUAAUUUUAUCUCUACAUUUGCUUUGAAUAUGAG